RNAcentral lists this ribosomal RNA (902 nucleotides) under Bacillus sp. (in: firmicutes). RNAcentral describes it as "bacterial SSU rRNA". It matches the Rfam family "Bacterial small subunit ribosomal RNA", at positions 34 to 920 of the family's 1533-position model. The record is from RNAcentral. Lineage: Bacteria; Bacillati; Bacillota; Bacilli; Caryophanales; Bacillaceae.
UGUUAGAUGCGGUGCUAUACAUGCAGUCGAGCGGACAGAAGGGAGCUUGCUCCCGGAUGUUAGCGGCGGACGGGUGAGUAACACGUGGGUAACCUGCCUGUAAGACUGGGAUAACUCCGGGAAACCGGAGCUAAUACCGGAUAGUUCCUUGAACCGCAUGGUUCAAGGAUGAAAGACGGUUUCGGCUGUCACUUACAGAUGGACCCGCGGCGCAUUAGCUAGUUGGUGGGGUAAUGGCUCACCAAGGCGACGAUGCGUAGCCGACCUGAGAGGGUGAUCGGCCACACUGGGACUGAGACACGGCCCAGACUCCUACGGGAGGCAGCAGUAGGGAAUCUUCCGCAAUGGACGAAAGUCUGACGGAGCAACGCCGCGUGAGUGAUGAAGGUUUUCGGAUCGUAAAGCUCUGUUGUUAGGGAAGAACAAGUGCGAGAGUAACUGCUCGCACCUUGACGGUACCUAACCAGAAAGCCACGGCUAACUACGUGCCAGCAGCCGCGGUAAUACGUAGGUGGCAAGCGUUGUCCGGAAUUAUUGGGCGUAAAGGGCUCGCAGGCGGUUUCUUAAGUCUGAUGUGAAAGCCCCCGGCUCAACCGGGGAGGGUCAUUGGAAACUGGGAAACUUGAGUGCAGAAGAGGAGAGUGGAAUUCCACGUGUAGCGGUGAAAUGCGUAGAGAUGUGGAGGAACACCAGUGGCGAAGGCGACUCUCUGGUCUGUAACUGACGCUGAGGAGCGAAAGCGUGGGGAGCGAACAGGAUUAGAUACCCUGGUAGUCCACGCCGUAAACGAUGAGUGCUAAGUGUUAGGGGGUUUCCGCCCCUUAGUGCUGCAGCUAACGCAUUAAGCACUCCGCCUGGGGAGUACGGUCGCAAGACUGAAACUCAAAGGAAUUGACGGGGGC